UCCCAGCUGUAAACGAUGCAGGCUAGGUGUUGGCGCGGCUACGUGCCGCUCUAGUGCCGCAGGGAAGCCGUUAAGCCUGCCGCCUGGGAAGUACGGCCGCAAGGCUGAAACUUAAAGGAAUUGGCGGGGGAGCACCACAAGGGGUGAAGCUUGCGGUUUAAUUGGAGUCAACACCGGAAAUCUCACCGGGGGCGACAGCAGGGUGAAGGCCAGAUUGAAGGUCUUGCCAGACAAGCUGAGAGGAGGUGCAUGGCCGUCGCCAGUUCGUGCCGUGAGGUGUCCUGUUAAGUCAGGCAACGAUCGAGACCCGCAUCCCCUGUUGCUACCAGCCAUAGAGCUGGGCACACUGAGGAGACUGCCGCCGACAAGGCG
RNAcentral lists this ribosomal RNA (372 nucleotides) under uncultured bacterium. Its description in RNAcentral is "bacterial SSU rRNA". It matches the Rfam family "Archaeal small subunit ribosomal RNA", at positions 745 to 1121 of the family's 1478-position model. The record is from RNAcentral.